Molecule: ribosomal RNA, 253 nt
Filed under: uncultured bacterium
Lineage: Bacteria
Description: partial 16S ribosomal RNA
Rfam family: Bacterial small subunit ribosomal RNA
Source: RNAcentral
UACGAAGGGGGCUAGCGUUGCUCGGAAUCACUGGGCGUAAAGGGUGCGUAGGCGGCCAACUAAGUCAGACGUGAAAUCCCUCGGCUCAACCGGGGAACUGCGUCUGAUACUGGAUGGCUUGAAUUCGGGAGAGGGAUGCGGAAUUCCAGGUGUAGCGGUGAAAUGCGUAGAUAUCUGGAGGAACACCGGUGGCGAAGGCGGCAUCCUGGACCGAUACUGACGCUGAGGAGCGAAAGCCAGGGGAGCAAACGGG